UACGGAGGGGGCAAGCGUUGUCCGGAUUUAUUGGGCGUAAAGAGCGUGUAGGCGGCCAUACAGGUCCGUUGUGAAAACUGGAGGCUUAACCUCCAGACGUCGAUGGAAACCGUAUGGCUAGAGUCCGGAAGAGGAGAGUGGAAUUCCUGGUGUAGCGGUGAAAUGCGCAGAUAUCAGGAAGAACACCCGUGGCGAAGGCGGCUCUCUGGGACGGUACUGACGCUGAGACGCGAAAGCGUGGGGAGCGAACAGG
Molecule: ribosomal RNA, 253 nt
Filed under: uncultured bacterium
Lineage: Bacteria
Description: partial 16S ribosomal RNA
Rfam family: Bacterial small subunit ribosomal RNA
Source: RNAcentral